This 468-nucleotide ribosomal RNA is filed under the name uncultured bacterium. Its description in RNAcentral is "partial 16S ribosomal RNA". It matches the Rfam family "Bacterial small subunit ribosomal RNA", at positions 28 to 507 of the family's 1533-position model. The record is from RNAcentral.
GACGAACGCUGGCGGCGUGCUUAACACAUGCAAGUCGAACGGAAAGGCCCUGCUUUUGUGGGGUGCUCGAGUGGCGAACGGGUGAGUAACACGUGAGUAACCUGCCCUUGACUUUGGGAUAACUUCAGGAAACUGGGGCUAAUACCGGAUAGGAGCUCCUGCUGCAUGGUGGGGGUUGGAAAGUUUCGGCGGUUGGGGAUGGACUCGCGGCUUAUCAGCUUGUUGGUGGGGUAGUGGCUUACCAAGGCUUUGACGGGUAGCCGGCCUGAGAGGGUGACCGGCCACAUUGGGACUGAGGUACGGCCCAGGCUCCAACGGGAGGCAACAGGGGGGAAUAUUGCACAAUGGGGGGGAGCCUGAUGCAGCAACGCCGCGUUCGGGAUGACGGCCUUCGGGUUUUAAACCGCUUUCGCCUGUGACGAAGCGUGAGUGACGGUAAUGGGUAAAGAAGCACCGGCUAACUACGUG